UAAUACAUGCAAGACGAGCGAACAGAAAAGGAGCUUGCUCCUUUGACGUUAGCGGCGGACGGGNGAGNAACACGUNGGCAACNUACCCUAUAGUUUGGGAUAACUCCGGGAAACCGGGGCUAAUACCGAAUAAUCUCCUUUGCUUCAUGGUGAAAGACUGAAAGACGGUUUCCGCUGUCGCUAUAGGAUGGGCCCGCGGCGCAUUAGCUAGUUGGUGAGGUAACGGCUCACCAAGGCGACGAUGCGUAGCCGACCUGAGAGGGUGAUCGGCCACACUGGGACUGAGACACG
Molecule: ribosomal RNA, 291 nt
Filed under: Bacillus sp. A0012
Lineage: Bacteria; Bacillati; Bacillota; Bacilli; Caryophanales; Bacillaceae
Description: partial 16S rRNA
Rfam family: Bacterial small subunit ribosomal RNA
Source: RNAcentral